GACGAACGCUUGCGGCGUGCCUAAGAAAUGCAAGUCGAGCGAAGUUCAGGGGUGCUUGCACUCCGAAGACUUAGCGGCGAACGGUCGCGUAACACGUAAGCAACCUGCCCUAAAGUUUGGGAUAGCCCACCGAAAGGUGGAUUAAUACCGGAUGUGUACAAUUUUUCGCAUGUUAAAUUGUUUAAAGCAGCAAUGCGCUUUAGGAUGGGCUUGCGGCCUAUCAGCUAGUUGGUGUGGUAACGGCUCACCAAGGCGACGACGGGUAGCUGGUCUGAGAGGAUGAUCAGCCGGAUUGGGACUGAGAUACGGCCCAGACUCCUACGGGGGGCAGCAAUUAGGAAUCUUGCGCAAUGGGCGAAAGCCUGACGCAGCGACGCCGCGUGACUGAUGAAAUCCUUCGGGAUGUAAAAGUCUUUUCUGGUGAAGAAGGAUGUGACUGUAGCCAAGGAAUAAGCUCCGGCUAACUACGUGCCAGCAGCCGCGGUAAUAUC
This 491-nucleotide ribosomal RNA is filed under the name uncultured bacterium. RNAcentral describes it as "bacterial SSU rRNA". It matches the Rfam family "Bacterial small subunit ribosomal RNA", at positions 28 to 526 of the family's 1533-position model. The record is from RNAcentral.